UAGUCCACGCCGUAAACGAUGUUCACUCGCUGCUUGCGAUACAUAGUAAGUGGCCAAGCGAAAGCAUUAAGUGAACCACCUGGGGAGUACGUCGGCAACGGUGAAACUCAAAGGAAUUGACGGGGGCCCGCACAAGCGGAGGAACAUGUGGUUUAAUUCGAUGAUACGCGAGGAACCUUACCUGGGCUUAAAUGUAGAUUGCAUGUGGUGGAAACACCCUUUUCUUCGGAACUAUCUACAAGGUGCUGCAUGGUUGUCGUCAGCUCGUGCCGUGAGGUGUCGGGUUAAGUCCCAUAACGAGCGCAACCCCUAUCGUUAGUUGCCAUCAGGUCAAGCUGGGGACUCUAACGAGACUGCCACCGUAAGGUGAGAGGAAGGUGGGGAUGACGUCAAAUCAGCACGGCCCUUAUGUCCAGGGCUACACACGUGUUACAAUGGCAGGUACAAAGGGCAGCUACACAGUGAUGUGAUGCUAAUCUCUAAAAGCUUGUCUCAGUUCGGAUCG
Molecule: ribosomal RNA, 505 nt
Filed under: uncultured bacterium
Lineage: Bacteria
Description: bacterial SSU rRNA
Rfam family: Bacterial small subunit ribosomal RNA
Source: RNAcentral